RNAcentral lists this ribosomal RNA (234 nucleotides) under uncultured bacterium. RNAcentral describes it as "partial 16S ribosomal RNA". It matches the Rfam family "Bacterial small subunit ribosomal RNA", at positions 99 to 334 of the family's 1533-position model. The record is from RNAcentral.
CGGACGGGUGAGUAAGCGUGGGUAACCUGCCUUGUACUGGGGGACAACAGUUAGAAAUGACUGCUAAUACCGCAUAAGCGCACAGUAUCGCAUGAUACAGUGUGAAAAACUCCGGUGGUACAAGAUGGACCCGCGUCUGAUUAGCUAGUUGGUAAGGUAACGGCUUACCAAGGCGACGAUCAGUAGCCGACCUGAGAGGGUGACCGGCCACAUUGGGACUGAGACACGGCCCAA